UUUCUGGUUUUUUUACAGCUUCUCUGAGUUCUGCUGUUCCCUGGAAACAUCAUAACAUAGUUGUACUCCAUGUUAAACAAGAAGUAAAAAUGAUGGUGUUCCAUCUUGGUGAUUGCCAGUUAUAUGCUAAUAAAUGAAAAGCACGGUUCGUCCUCGCUUUAGGCUUAAAGCUACCUGACAUGCAUAUUAAAACAUCGAAGUGCUAACGAUAGGGAAAGGUCUACGAGCAGUAUGUUAUUUCGUUUAUUUCACGAACGGAAUAUACAGGAAAAAAGACAUACCUGUUGUAUCGUUGUGUUAUCAGCUACAAGCAACUUCGAUAGUAUUUCCUCCAUAACUGGAUUUAUAUUAAUAACAAAAUACGUAUUUAAGAGUACUUCCAAACGAAGCAGGGGCCCAGAAGUAGCCGGCUGUC
Long non-coding RNA from Hylaeus volcanicus, 415 nucleotides. RefSeq lists it as uncharacterized. The transcript is spliced from 3 exons. Lineage: Eukaryota; Metazoa; Arthropoda; Insecta; Hymenoptera; Colletidae. The record is from RefSeq and is a predicted model, not a curated record.